Molecule: ribosomal RNA, 253 nt
Filed under: uncultured bacterium
Lineage: Bacteria
Description: partial 16S ribosomal RNA
Rfam family: Bacterial small subunit ribosomal RNA
Source: RNAcentral
UACAGAGGUCGCAAGCGUUAAUCGGAUUUACUGGGCGUAAAGCGUGUGUAGGUGGUUGUACAAGUCGGUUGUGAAAUCCCCGGGCUCAACCUGGGAACUGCUUCCGAGACUGCACGACUAGAGAUCGGUAGAGGGCGGUGGAAUUUCCGGUGUAGCGGUGAAAUGCGUAGAUAUCGGAAGGAACACCAAUGGCGAAGGCAGCCGCCUGGGCCUGAUCUGACACUGAGACACGAAAGCGUGGGGAUCAAACAGG